Molecule: ribosomal RNA, 396 nt
Filed under: uncultured bacterium
Lineage: Bacteria
Description: partial 16S ribosomal RNA
Rfam family: Bacterial small subunit ribosomal RNA
Source: RNAcentral
CCUACGGGUGGCUGCAGUGAGGAAUAUUGGUCAAUGGUCGCGAGACUGAACCAGCCAAGUCGCGUGAAGGAUGAAUGUACAGAGUGUUGUAAACUUCUUUUGUCAAGGAAUAAAGUCAGGCACGUGUGCCUGUUUGUGUGUACUUUAUGAAUAAGGAUCGGCUAACUCCGUGCCAGCAGCCGCGGUAAUACGGAGGAUCCGAGCGUUAUCCGGAUUUAUUGGGUUUAAAGGGAGCGUAGGUGGGUUGUUAAGUCAGGUGUGAAAGUUUGCGGCUCAACCGUAGAAUUGCCAUUGAUACUGGCAGUCUCGAGUUCAGUUGAGGUAGGCGGAAUUCGCGGUGUAGCGGUGAAAUGCUUAGAUAUCACGAAGAACUCCGAUUGCGAAGGCAGCUUACCA